GUUGCAUGGGCGCUGUGUGUUGCAAACUGAUUGCCUUACAUCCUCUGCUGCUUCACAACUGCGGUGAGUUCCGUUUCGAGAUCUGGAAACAACCAUAAUCUUCCCAACUGCGGCUCUCUGCUUGCUGAUCUGGAAACUGCCUUAGCUUUCAAAACUGUCGUUUCGGUUUGCAUCGGAAGCAUUUCACCGUCUGGAUUCGUGUCGGUACAGACUCUUCGAUGAGUUGUGGGAUGUGAUGAAUGGUGCUUCCUUGGAAGAUUUGUGUGAGUUUUAUCUGGGUGGGAAUAGUUUGAGAUCAAAAAUAGAUUCAAAUCGAGAUCUCUCUCUCCCUCUAUGUAUAUAUAUAUAAAUAUAUAUACACAUAUAUAUAUAAAUAUAUAUAUACACAUAUAUAUAUAAAUAUAUAUAUACACAUAUAUAUAUAUAUAUAGAUAUAUAUAUAUAUACAUAUGUGUAUUCUUUUUUGCAAAACCGUGAUUUUCCUUAUUAUUUUGGACACUUCAUGAUGCUAGACUUAUUGAAUGACAAAUAGUUUUAAAGCAAGUGUUAGAAUUGAUGAAAAAAUUACACAUAAUCUAUAAACUUCACAUGGGUGCACAACUGCAGAAGUAAUUUCGUGGUUAGACUACAUGAAAUAACUCACUAAAUCAUUAAUGUUCUUGAUUUUAAUGUUUGAAAAUAAAUAAAUAA
RNAcentral lists this long non-coding RNA (690 nucleotides) under Physcomitrium patens. Its description in RNAcentral is "long non-coding RNA (PPAT_LNC012329)". The record is from RNAcentral. Lineage: Eukaryota; Viridiplantae; Streptophyta; Bryopsida; Funariales; Funariaceae.